CAGUCGCCACGGGAAAACGAAGGGGGCUAGCGUUGUUCGGAUUUACUGGGCGUAAAGGGCGCGUAGGUGGACUGAUAAGUCAGGGGUGAAAUCCCAAGGCUCAACCUUGGAACUGCCUUUGAUACUGUUUGUCUUGAGUUCGAGAGAGGUAAGUGGAACUGCGAGUGUAGAGGUGAAAUUCGUAGAUAUUCGCAAGAACACCAGUGGCGAAGGCGACUCUCUGGUCUGUAACUGACGCUGAGGAGCGAAAGCGUGGGGAGCGAACAGGAUUAGAUACCCGAGUAGUCCCUGUCUCUUAUCC
RNAcentral lists this ribosomal RNA (301 nucleotides) under uncultured bacterium. Its description in RNAcentral is "partial 16S ribosomal RNA". It matches the Rfam family "Bacterial small subunit ribosomal RNA", at positions 509 to 809 of the family's 1533-position model. The record is from RNAcentral.